RNAcentral lists this ribosomal RNA (1540 nucleotides) under uncultured bacterium. Its description in RNAcentral is "bacterial SSU rRNA". It matches the Rfam family "Bacterial small subunit ribosomal RNA". The record is from RNAcentral.
GAGUUUGAUCAUGGCUCAGGAUGAACGCUGGCGGCGUGCUUAACACAUGCAAGUCGAACGGACUGAUAUGAUUGAAGCCUUCGGGUGGAUUUCAUUGACGUUAGUGGCGGACGGGUGAGUAACACGUGGAUAAUCUACCUUAAAGACUGGGACAACAGUUGGAAACGACUGCUAAUACCGGAUGUUCUAAGUUUGUGGCAUCACGAGCUUAGUAAAGGAGGCCUCUUAACAAUGCUCCCGCUUUAAGAUGAGUCCACGUCUGAUUAGCUAGUUGGUGGGGUAACGGCCUACCAAGGCGACGAUCAGUAGCCGGCCUGAGAGGGUGACCGGCCACAUUGGGACUGAGACACGGCCCAAACUCCUACGGGAGGCAGCAGUGGGGAAUCUUCCGCAAUGGGCGCAAGCCUGACGGAGCAACGCCGCGUGAAUGAUGAAGGCCUUCGGGUUGUAAAAUUCUGUUGGCAGGGACGAAUAAGCAAGGCGAAUAGUCUUGUGUAUGACGGUACCUGCUAAGAAAGCUCCGGCUAACUACGUGCCAGCAGCCGCGGUAAUACGUAGGGAGCGAGCGUUAUCCGGAAUUACUGGGCGUAAAGGGCGCGUAGGCGGGUAUUUAAGUCAGAUGUGAAAACUCCGGGCUCAACUUGGAGACUGCAUUUGAAACUGGAUAUCUUGAGGGCAGGAGAGGAAAGUGGAAUUCCUAGUGUAGCGGUGAAAUGCGUAGAUAUUAGGAGGAACACCAGUGGCGAAGGCGACUUUCUGGACUGUACCUGACGCUGAGGCGCGAAAGCGUGGGGAGCAAACGGGAUUAGAUACCCCGGCUAGUCCACGCUGUAAACGAUGAAUACUAGGUGUAGGAGGUAUCGACCCCUUCUGUGCCGCAGCUAACGCAAUAAGUAUUCCGCCUGGGGACUACGGUCGCAAGACUAAAACUCAAAGGAAUUGACGGGGACCCGCACAAGCGGUGGAGUAUGUGGUUUAAUUCGACGCAACGCGAAGAACCUUACCAGGGCUUGACAUCCCUUGCUAUUCAUGGAAACAUGAAGUUUUAUCCUUCGGGAUAGACAAGGUGACAGGUGGUGCAUGGUUGUCGUCAGCUCGUGUCGUGAGAUGUUGGGUUAAGUCCCGCAACGAGCGCAACCCCUAUUUCUAGUUGCCAGCACGUAAUGGUGGGAACUCUAGAGAAACUGCCGGUGACAAACCGGAGGAAGGUGGGGAUGACGUCAAAUCAUCAUGCCCUUUAUGUCCUGGGCUACACACGUACUACAAUGGUCGGUACAGAGGGUUGCGAAGCCGCGAGGUGGAGCUAAUCCCAGAAAGCCGGUCUCAGUUCGGAUUGUAGGCUGCAACCCGCCUACAUGAAGUCGGAAUCGCUAGUAAUCGCAGGUCAGCAUACUGCGGUGAAUACGUUCCCGGGUCUUGUACACACCGCCCGUCACACCACGGGAGUUGGUAACACCCGAAGUCGAUGAGCUAACCGUAAGGAGGCAGUCGCCUAAGGUGGGAUUGAUAACUGGGGUGAAGUCGUAACAAGGUAGCCGUA